UUCGCAAUGCCCGAAAGGGUGAACGAGCGACGCCGCGUGCGGGGUGAAGGGUUUCGGCUUGUAAACCGCUUUUCUUUGGGAAGAAGGUCUGUCUCGUGCAGAUGGGCUCGACGGUACCAGAGGAAUAAGCCUCGGCUAACUCCGUGUCAGCAGCCGCGGUAAGACGGAGGAGGCAAGCGUUGUUCGGAAUUAUUGGGCGUAAAGGGCGCGUAGGCGGAUCGGUAAGUCUGGCGUGAAAUCUCCACCGCUUAACGGGGAGAGGUCGCUGGAAACUACCGAUCUGGAGUUCGGCAGAGGACCAUGGAAUUCCAGGUGUAGCGGUGGAAUGCGUAGAUAUCUGGAAGAACACCGGUGGCGAAGGCGGUGGUCUGGGCCGAAACCGACGCUGAGGCGCGAAAGCCAGGGGAGCAAACGGGAUUAGAUACCCCGGUAGUCCUAGCCCUAAACGAUGGGCACUAAGUAGAGGGGUUUU
Molecule: ribosomal RNA, 472 nt
Filed under: uncultured bacterium
Lineage: Bacteria
Description: bacterial SSU rRNA
Rfam family: Bacterial small subunit ribosomal RNA
Source: RNAcentral